Molecule: ribosomal RNA, 220 nt
Filed under: uncultured soil bacterium
Lineage: Bacteria
Description: partial 16S ribosomal RNA
Source: RNAcentral
CCACGCUUUCGCACCUGAGCGUCAGUACCGGUCCAGGGGGCCGCCUUCGCCACCGGUGUUCCUCCAAAUAUCUACGCAUUUCACCGCUACACUGGGAAUUCUACCCACCUCUACCAGACUCAAGCUUGACAGUAUGACAUGCAGUUCCUAGGUUGAGCCCGGGGAUUUCACAUGUGACUUAACAAACCGCCUGCGCGCGCUUUACGCCCAAUAAUUCCGA